This 64-nucleotide transfer RNA is filed under the name Nargus velox. RNAcentral describes it as "tRNA-Phe". Lineage: Eukaryota; Metazoa; Arthropoda; Insecta; Coleoptera; Leiodidae. The record is from RNAcentral.
AUUUAAAUAGCUUAUAAUUAGAGCAUAAUAUUGAAGAUAUUAAGGAAAUAUUUAUAUAUUUUUA